Non-coding RNA from Physocladia obscura, 85 nucleotides. Lineage: Eukaryota; Fungi; Chytridiomycota; Chytridiomycetes; Chytridiales; Chytriomycetaceae. The record is from the annotation of a GenBank genome assembly.
GCAAGUGUGUCGAAAUUGGUAUACGAAGCGUAUUUAGGAUGCGCUGACUUAAAAGGUCAUGAGGGUUCAAGUCCCUCCACUUGUA